RNAcentral lists this ribosomal RNA (153 nucleotides) under uncultured Campylobacterota bacterium. RNAcentral's name for it is "uncultured Epsilonproteobacteria bacterium partial 16S ribosomal RNA". It matches the Rfam family "Bacterial small subunit ribosomal RNA", at positions 355 to 525 of the family's 1533-position model. Lineage: Bacteria; Pseudomonadati; Campylobacterota. The record is from RNAcentral.
UGGGGAUUAUUGCACAAUGGGGGAAACCCUGAUGCAGCAACGCCGCGUGGAGGAAGAAACCCUUAGGGGCGUAAACUCCUUUUAUCAAGGAAGAAGAUGACGGUACUUGAUGAAUAAGCACCGGCUAACUCCGUGCCAGCAGCCGCGGUAAUA